CUUGAUUCUCUGCUAUCAGUUUUCUUUCUCUCAUCCUNAACACAAUGGAGUUUUUUCUCUAUGAACUACUUCCCUGGAGAGCUCGUCUCUCCAGUGGACAUAAACACAAACAACAUUUUGCAUUAUGAAAAACUAUUUAUCAAGAAAUUUAAUAUUCAAAACUUUCAACAACGGAUCUCUUGGUUCUNGCAUCGAUGAAGAACGCAGCGAAUUGCGAUAUGUAUUGUGAAUUGCAGAUUUUCGUGAAUCAUCAAAUCUUUGAACGCACAUUGCGCCCUCUGGUAUUCCAGGGGGCAUGCCUGUUUGAGCGUCAUUUCUCUCUCAAACCUUUGGGUUUGGUAGUGAGUGAUACUCGUUUUUCGGGUUAACUUGAAAGUGGCUAGCCGUUGCCUUCUGCGUGAGCAGGGCUGCGUGUCAAGUCUAUGGACUCGACUCUUGCACAUCUACGUCUUAGGUUUGCGCCAAUUCGUGGUAAGCUAGGGUCAAUGAGCUUAUAGGUGUUAUAAAGACUCNNNNGUGUUUGUCUCCUUGAGGCAUACGGCUUAACCAAAACUC
RNAcentral lists this ribosomal RNA (555 nucleotides) under Kluyveromyces lactis. RNAcentral describes it as "eukaryotic LSU rRNA". The stretch from base 160 to 313 matches the Rfam family "5.8S ribosomal RNA". Lineage: Eukaryota; Fungi; Ascomycota; Saccharomycetes; Saccharomycetales; Saccharomycetaceae. The record is from RNAcentral.